This 261-nucleotide ribosomal RNA is filed under the name Triticum aestivum (bread wheat). RNAcentral describes it as "partial small subunit ribosomal RNA". The record is from RNAcentral. Lineage: Eukaryota; Viridiplantae; Streptophyta; Magnoliopsida; Poales; Poaceae.
CUAGCUGGUUCUCCCCGAAAUGUGUUGAGGCGCAGCAGUUGACUGGACAUCUAGGGGUAAAGCACUGUUUCGGUGCGGGCUGCGCGAGCGGUACCAAAUCGAGGCAAACUCUGAAGCCUGAACGAUCCUAAAAAUCCCUCGAAGGAGAUAAUAAAGAACCCAAAGCAGAUGGUAUCCUACUGCAAGGGUGGUCUUAAGAAUCCAAAAGAGGUUGCUCAGAAGAGAUAGAUGUAUCCCAACCUCUAUUAACUCCCUCAAUAA